RNAcentral lists this ribosomal RNA (908 nucleotides) under Harknessia globispora. Its description in RNAcentral is "eukaryotic LSU rRNA". It matches the Rfam family "Eukaryotic large subunit ribosomal RNA", at positions 24 to 962 of the family's 3401-position model. The record is from RNAcentral. Lineage: Eukaryota; Fungi; Ascomycota; Sordariomycetes; Diaporthales; Harknessiaceae.
CCCGCUGAACUUAAGCAUAUCAAUAAGCGGAGGAAAAGAAACCAACAGGGAUUGCCCUAGUAACGGCGAGUGAAGCGGCAACAGCUCAAAUUUGAAAUCUGGCCUCGGCCCGAGUUGUAAUUUGCAGAGGAUGUUUCUGGCGCGGUGCCUUCCGAGUUCCCUGGAACGGGACGCCACAGAGGGUGAGAGCCCCGUAUGGUUGGACACCAAGCCUGUGUGAAACUCCUUCGACGAGUCGAGUAGUUUGGGAAUGCUGCUCUAAAUGGGAGGUAAAUCUCUUCUAAAGCUAAAUACCGGCCAGAGACCGAUAGCGCACAAGUAGAGUGAUCGAAAGAUGAAAAGCACCUUGAAAAGGGGGUUAAACAGUACGUGAAAUUGUUGAAAGGGAAGCGCUCAUGACCAGACUUGUGCCGGGCGGUUCAUCCGGGGUUCUCCCCGGUGCACUCCGCCCGGCUCAGGCCAGCAUCGGUUCUCGUUGGGGGAUAAGAACGGUAGGAACGUGGCCCUCCCUCGGGAGGGUGUUAUAGCCCGCCGUACGAUACCCUGACGGGGACCGAGGUUCGCGCUCCGCAAGGAUGCUGGCGUAAUGGUCAUCAGCGACCCGUCUUGAAACACGGACCAAGGAGUCGUCCAUUAGAGCGAGCGUUUGGGUGUAAAACCCGCACGCGUAAUGAAAGUGAAAUUAGGUGAGAGCUUCGGCGCAUCAUCGACCGAUCCUGAUGUUCUCGGAUGGAUUUGAGUAAGAGUUUUAACGGACGGACCCGAAAGACAGUGAACUAUGCUUGUAUAGGGUGAAGCCAGAGGAAACUCUGGUGGAGGCUCGCAGCGGUUCUGACGUGCAAAUCGAUCGUCAAAUAUGAGCAUGGGGGCGAAAGACUAAUCGAACUGUCUAGUAGCUGGUUACCGCC